UACGUGGGGGGCAAGCGUUGUCCGGAUUUAUUGGGCGUAAAGAGCGUGUAGGCGGCCAUACAGGUCAGCUGUGAAAACUCGAGGCUCAACCUCGAGACGUCGGUUGAAACCGUAUGGCUAGAGUCCGGAAGAGGAGAGUGGAAUUCCCGGUGUAGCGGUGAAAUGCGCAGAUAUCGGGAAGAACACCCGUGGCGAAGGCGGCUCUCUGGGACGGUACUGGACGCUGAGACGCGAAAGCGUGGGGAGCGAACAGG
RNAcentral lists this ribosomal RNA (254 nucleotides) under uncultured bacterium. RNAcentral's name for it is "partial 16S ribosomal RNA". It matches the Rfam family "Bacterial small subunit ribosomal RNA", at positions 524 to 776 of the family's 1533-position model. The record is from RNAcentral.